UGUAUGCACGGCAGUCCUGUUUGUUCGGCAUAAGGAAGAGGACAGGAGAAGAUGGAAAGACCAUAGCUUUCAUCUACCUCUUACAUGAUGCAGGACAGGACAGACGGGGGAUGAACAUAAAUACCUUACAUCAAGGUGCCUAUGCAGUACACGGACCACUAACGGGAAUUAUUUCGCCGACCUACGCCUUGGAGUAGCAUACCUUUGUUUUGCCGUGGGACUAUUGCGUUGGUUUGGAUUACUGUUUUGGUGGACACAGAAUUCGCAAACGAGCCUUAAAACGAGAUCUCGUAUGGAACCACCUUAUCCACCGACAGCGCUUUUGUGUUGUCAGGCGAUCCAAAAGGGUAGUCGACCGAAUCAUAAUAGGAAGUAAACAGUAAAAGGUUAUUGCGGAAUUUUGGAAUACACGAUGCCACCCGUGUCAUGUCACGGGACUGAACCAUUCUGAAGCACUGGAUUGCAUCCUGUGUGGAUUUUCUUGCCCGGACCCAGUUAAUGAGAGGCACCCAGCGGCAGAAGCGGAGACCUCAACAUGUUGGCGUGUUUACAGAGGAGCCAGACCCACGCGCCCCAGCAUCUGAUGGGGGGUGGCAAGAUCCCAGAGCUGCAGCUGCCCGUCCCUCGAAAG
Alosa sapidissima (American shad) is the source of this 631-nucleotide long non-coding RNA. RefSeq lists it as uncharacterized. The transcript is spliced from 3 exons. NCBI's taxonomy places the organism in Eukaryota, Metazoa, Chordata, Actinopteri, Clupeiformes, Clupeidae. The record is from RefSeq and is a predicted model, not a curated record.